AUUGAGCGCUGGCGGCAGGCCUAACACAUGCAAGUCGAGCGGCAGCGGAAAGUAGCUUGCUACUUUGCCGGCGAGCGGCGGACGGGUGAGUAAUGUCUGGGAAACUGCCUGAUGGAGGGGGAUAGCUACUGGAAACGGUAGCUAAUACCGCAUAAUGUCGCAAGACCAAAGAGGGGGACCUUCGGGCCUCUUGCCAUCAGAUGUGCCCAAAUGGGAUUAGCUAGUAGGUGGGGUAAUGGCUCACCUAGGCGACGAUCCCUAGCUGGUCUGAGAGGAUGACCAGCCACACUGGAACUGAGACACGGUCCAGACUCCUACGGGAGGCAGCAGUGGGGAAUAUUGCACAAUGGGCGCAAGCCUGAUGCAGCCAUGCCGCGUGUGUGAAGAAGGCCUUCGGGUUGUAAAGCACUUUCAGCGAGGAGGAAGGCAUUAAGGUUAAUAACCUUAGUGAUUGACGUUACUCGCAGAAGAAGCACCGGCUAACUCCGUGCCAGCAGCCGCGGUAA
RNAcentral lists this ribosomal RNA (506 nucleotides) under uncultured bacterium. RNAcentral's name for it is "partial 16S ribosomal RNA". It matches the Rfam family "Bacterial small subunit ribosomal RNA", at positions 30 to 523 of the family's 1533-position model. The record is from RNAcentral.